GCCAUAGUAGCUCAAUUGGUAGAGCCUCGCACGUGAAAUGCGAAGGUUGUGGGUUCGGUUCCCACCUGCGGCA
RNAcentral lists this transfer RNA (73 nucleotides) under Dermacentor andersoni. Its description in RNAcentral is "transfer RNA serine (anticodon UGA)". It matches the Rfam family "tRNA". Rfam says of the family: Transfer RNA (tRNA) molecules are approximately 80 nucleotides in length. Their secondary structure includes four short double-helical elements and three loops (D, anti-codon, and T loops). Further hydrogen bonds mediate the characteristic L-shaped molecular structure. tRNAs have two regions of fundamental functional importance: the anti-codon, which is responsible for specific mRNA codon recognition, and the 3' end, to which the tRNAs corresponding amino acid is attached (by aminoacyl-tRNA synthetases). tRNAs cope with the degeneracy of the genetic code in two manners: having more than one tRNA (with a specific anti-codon) for a particular amino acid; and 'wobble' base-pairing, i.e. permitting non-standard base-pairing at the 3rd anti-codon position. The record is from RNAcentral. Lineage: Eukaryota; Metazoa; Arthropoda; Arachnida; Ixodida; Ixodidae.